UGGGGAAUUUUGGACAAUGGGGGCAACCCUGAUCCAGCCAUGCCGCGUGAGUGAAGAAGGCCUUCGGGUUGUAAAGCUCUUUCGGCGGGGAAGAAAUGGCAACGGCUAAUAUCCGUUGUUGAUGACGGUACCCGCAUAAGAAGCACCGGCUAACU
This 155-nucleotide ribosomal RNA is filed under the name uncultured Rhodocyclaceae bacterium. Its description in RNAcentral is "partial 16S rRNA". It matches the Rfam family "Bacterial small subunit ribosomal RNA", at positions 355 to 502 of the family's 1533-position model. The record is from RNAcentral. Lineage: Bacteria; Pseudomonadati; Pseudomonadota; Betaproteobacteria; Rhodocyclales; Rhodocyclaceae.